AGUGUUUUGCCUGAAUUGGUGUUUCUGCACCAGGAAUCUGCCUGGUGUGUGCAAAGGCCAGAAGAAGGCAAAAGAGGGUGUCAGGUGCCCUGAACCAGGAGUUAUCGCAUGGGUGUUGGGAAUCGAACCAGGGGCCUUUGAAGAGCAGCCAGGGCUGUUAAAUGCUGAGCCAUCUCUGAAACCAUAGUUCAAGACUUCGUGAUGAACAACUGUCUCCAGGCUACAACAAAAGGAAAGGGCAAGUUUGCAAAGAAGAAAUAGAAAAACUGAACAGAUAUUCAACACCACUGACUGGGGAAACACAAAGAAACUUUUGCCUCAAAUUGGCAAAAAAUGUGCAUGAUCAGACACUGUCAGGAGUAAAGGGGAACCCUAUUAACUACUUCUGAAAGUAUAAACUGCGGGUUAUUUUGUAGUGCUUUCGGUGGUCUCUGUCUGCACCUCAGGUUGCAGGAUUCCUAUGCACUUGCUUCUGAUUCCUGACUUUGCAUCUAUGUCACACGUGCAGCUUGCAGUCAGCCGUGGAGGAAGAGCUUCACACCAAGGCGAUUAACAAGAGCUACAGCCACCCCCACUGAUUUGCGGAAGACAGGUGUUAGCAUCUGUCAGCAUCUCGGGGCAGGAAAAGUUCGUAAUCCAUGCUCUACUCUGUCUCUGAGAUAUCAUCUAAAGUUUCAUGCAUUCAAACUUGGUCCACAGCUGGCUGGGCACCCCAGGAAGGGGGUAGAACCUUUAAGGGGCCACAGGGAAAGUGCUCCUAAAGUAGAUUGUGUGACCCCAGAGUACUCGCCAGCUUUCUGUCACUGUGACAAAAUGCCCAAGACAAUCAACACAUAAGGAGGAGAGGCUUAGCUUAGCUUGUGGUUCCACAAGCUGAUAGCUGCUUGGUUCUGUUGCCCGUUGUGAGGAAGCCAGACAUGGAGGGGGUUAUUUACUUCAUAGAAUCGGAGGAGCAGAGAGAGAGGAAGGGGCCAGGGUCCAAUAUCACAGGCAUGUUCUGUCACAGUUAGCCUCCUCAUGAAGCACUUAGAACCAUGCACAGUUAAUUGGCUAGACUUCCAGGUGCAAAAUAGGUGUGGCAUUUGAGCCACAAGGAAUGGCACAGCUGUGGUUCUCGUGGUAACCGCUUCUCUCUGAGGGCUUACUCAAGGCAACAGGGACUUGCUGGGUCUUGCCUAUCCACAGGUUCCUGUGUUUCACCCCAAGGGAUUGAAAGUUGAUUCUCUAAGGAUUGGGUUGAAGGCUUCUCCAGCUCUUGAGGGAUCUUAGAACCGAAUCCCUUGGCUUUUUGCUCACUUCUUCUCGGCGUGUGCAGGGAAAGAAGGUGCUGAUUGCUGGCGCUUGCACUCCCUCUCCUCAUUUUGAAAUGAUGUACACAAGCAUUGCUCAAAGGGUAGCAUCCCUGUAUCUCUAGAAGGGAGGGAAUGGCCCUGCAGGCUUUCUCAGGUGGCCAGAUUAGCUGUCGGUCUUUAACUUCUGAUACUGCAGAAGACGUUCUCCCUAAAUUUCCUCUUCAUCUCAGGUGUGGUACAACGUUCAGAAAAUAGCCACAUCUGUGGUUUAGAUUGAUCCUAGAUUAACCUGUGAGACGGUUGGCUCAUAGGGGUCAAAGGGUACUCAGGAAAGAUCUCCCCUUUGCUUUCCCUCCAUAGCCACUGAGCUAAAUCCCCACCUGCUUCAGUGACCUUCUAGGUCGGUGUGGGCCAUCUGCUCUGGGAAAGUUUGGGGGCUUCAUCCGACCCAAAAGCCGGAGUCAGUUGGCUCCAGGGAAGGAAGCAAUGUUACACAGCCUGAUUGCCUUUCUGUACCGUUACUGCUGCUAUUGGUAAGUGUCAACCGACUGAGGGAAGUUCUGUUUUACAUGGAGUAGCGACCUUCACAACUGAAUUCCACCUUGAGGCAAGGAUCAGGAAGGAGUUUGUCUUUGGAGUCAGGGUCUCCCAUGAACCCAGGCUGGCCCGGAACUUCCUACACAGCUGUAGAACGUUUGGACGUCAGACUCUCCUACCUAAACAUCCUGAUUGUAAUGCUGCGAUAACAGUGUGAGCCACCAUGACUCAUGGAGACCUCCCCUUAUAACAGCUUGUCACCAACCCCGGAGCCUCAUGCUGAGCCGAAUUUGAUGCACACAGAUCUGUAAACAUCCAUCAGGGGCAAAGGAGCCCCUUUCAUGAAGAUGGUGACCCCAUUCACUGCAGGGAAUGCACGCCUUUCUUACCUCAAGACCCAAAGACAUCAUUUCCACUUGAAGUCAGCUUCUUUGCCCCAGCUGUCCUCAGAUGUCCUACUGUUAAAACUUUGGUUAAAGUCUUUCCUGAAGAUCUGGAUAAGGGUGUGGCCAGCUCUUCAUUAGGGUUGCCUAACCUAGGUAUGUGCAAGCUCUUAGCUCUGAUUCCCAGAACAGAAAAACAGUCAAACCAUCCAUCAGUCAUUAAUCAGCCUGUCUACCUCCCUCGCUUCUGAAUCAAGCAUGGUGGUGUAUGCUUGUUUUCCCAGACUUGAGAGGCAGAUGGCCAGCUCAAGACCUGGGUUACGUAGUGAGACCCUUUCGAAAUCAGCCUCUCCGGGUGUCGUCUCUGAAGCUCGAGCAGCGGCUGUAGCUUUCACUACACGGUCCACCAUGUCUGUGAAUGCUUCAUGUUACGGUUUGGUUCCCAGAAGAUGGUUCCUACCAGGCCCAGCAGCAGCAGCAAACACAGGGUAAACAUGUGACCAGAAAGAGGUGCAUUGAUGUUGGGAGAGUUCGGCAAGCAAA
Molecule: small RNA, 2755 nt
Filed under: Rattus norvegicus (Norway rat)
Lineage: Eukaryota; Metazoa; Chordata; Mammalia; Rodentia; Muridae
Description: uncharacterized LOC102552414
Source: RNAcentral